This 2904-nucleotide ribosomal RNA is filed under the name Escherichia coli. Its description in RNAcentral is "23S ribosomal RNA". It matches the Rfam family "Bacterial large subunit ribosomal RNA". Lineage: Bacteria; Pseudomonadati; Pseudomonadota; Gammaproteobacteria; Enterobacterales; Enterobacteriaceae. The record is from RNAcentral.
GGUUAAGCGACUAAGCGUACACGGUGGAUGCCCUGGCAGUCAGAGGCGAUGAAGGACGUGCUAAUCUGCGAUAAGCGUCGGUAAGGUGAUAUGAACCGUUAUAACCGGCGAUUUCCGAAUGGGGAAACCCAGUGUGUUUCGACACACUAUCAUUAACUGAAUCCAUAGGUUAAUGAGGCGAACCGGGGGAACUGAAACAUCUAAGUACCCCGAGGAAAAGAAAUCAACCGAGAUUCCCCCAGUAGCGGCGAGCGAACGGGGAGCAGCCCAGAGCCUGAAUCAGUGUGUGUGUUAGUGGAAGCGUCUGGAAAGGCGCGCGAUACAGGGUGACAGCCCCGUACACAAAAAUGCACAUGCUGUGAGCUCGAUGAGUAGGGCGGGACACGUGGUAUCCUGUCUGAAUAUGGGGGGACCAUCCUCCAAGGCUAAAUACUCCUGACUGACCGAUAGUGAACCAGUACCGUGAGGGAAAGGCGAAAAGAACCCCGGCGAGGGGAGUGAAAAAGAACCUGAAACCGUGUACGUACAAGCAGUGGGAGCACGCUUAGGCGUGUGACUGCGUACCUUUUGUAUAAUGGGUCAGCGACUUAUAUUCUGUAGCAAGGUUAACCGAAUAGGGGAGCCGAAGGGAAACCGAGUCUUAACUGGGCGUUAAGUUGCAGGGUAUAGACCCGAAACCCGGUGAUCUAGCCAUGGGCAGGUUGAAGGUUGGGUAACACUAACUGGAGGACCGAACCGACUAAUGUUGAAAAAUUAGCGGAUGACUUGUGGCUGGGGGUGAAAGGCCAAUCAAACCGGGAGAUAGCUGGUUCUCCCCGAAAGCUAUUUAGGUAGCGCCUCGUGAAUUCAUCUCCGGGGGUAGAGCACUGUUUCGGCAAGGGGGUCAUCCCGACUUACCAACCCGAUGCAAACUGCGAAUACCGGAGAAUGUUAUCACGGGAGACACACGGCGGGUGCUAACGUCCGUCGUGAAGAGGGAAACAACCCAGACCGCCAGCUAAGGUCCCAAAGUCAUGGUUAAGUGGGAAACGAUGUGGGAAGGCCCAGACAGCCAGGAUGUUGGCUUAGAAGCAGCCAUCAUUUAAAGAAAGCGUAAUAGCUCACUGGUCGAGUCGGCCUGCGCGGAAGAUGUAACGGGGCUAAACCAUGCACCGAAGCUGCGGCAGCGACGCUUAUGCGUUGUUGGGUAGGGGAGCGUUCUGUAAGCCUGUGAAGGUGUGUUGUGAGGCAUGCUGGAGGUAUCAGAAGUGCGAAUGCUGACAUAAGUAACGAUAAAGCGGGUGAAAAGCCCGCUCGCCGGAAGACCAAGGGUUCCUGUCCAACGUUAAUCGGGGCAGGGUGAGUCGACCCCUAAGGCGAGGCCGAAAGGCGUAGUCGAUGGGAAACAGGUUAAUAUUCCUGUACUUGGUGUUACUGCGAAGGGGGGACGGAGAAGGCUAUGUUGGCCGGGCGACGGUUGUCCCGGUUUAAGCGUGUAGGCUGGUUUUCCAGGCAAAUCCGGAAAAUCAAGGCUGAGGCGUGAUGACGAGGCACUACGGUGCUGAAGCAACAAAUGCCCUGCUUCCAGGAAAAGCCUCUAAGCAUCAGGUAACAUCAAAUCGUACCCCAAACCGACACAGGUGGUCAGGUAGAGAAUACCAAGGCGCUUGAGAGAACUCGGGUGAAGGAACUAGGCAAAAUGGUGCCGUAACUUCGGGAGAAGGCACGCUGAUAUGUAGGUGAAGUCCCUCGCGGAUGGAGCUGAAAUCAGUCGAAGAUACCAGCUGGCUGCAACUGUUUAUUAAAAACACAGCACUGUGCAAACACGAAAGUGGACGUAUACGGUGUGACGCCUGCCCGGUGCCGGAAGGUUAAUUGAUGGGGUCAGCGCAAGCGAAGCUCUUGAUCGAAGCCCCGGUAAACGGCGGCCGUAACUAUAACGGUCCUAAGGUAGCGAAAUUCCUUGUCGGGUAAGUUCCGACCUGCACGAAUGGCGUAAUGAUGGCCAGGCUGUCUCCACCCGAGACUCAGUGAAAUUGAACUCGCUGUGAAGAUGCAGUGUACCCGCGGCAAGACGGAAAGACCCCGUGAACCUUUACUAUAGCUUGACACUGAACAUUGAGCCUUGAUGUGUAGGAUAGGUGGGAGGCUUAGAAGUGUGGACGCCAGUCUGCAUGGAGCCGACCUUGAAAUACCACCCUUUAAUGUUUGAUGUUCUAACGUUGACCCGUAAUCCGGGUUGCGGACAGUGUCUGGUGGGUAGUUUGACUGGGGCGGUCUCCUCCUAAAGAGUAACGGAGGAGCACGAAGGUUGGCUAAUCCUGGUCGGACAUCAGGAGGUUAGUGCAAUGGCAUAAGCCAGCUUGACUGCGAGCGUGACGGCGCGAGCAGGUGCGAAAGCAGGUCAUAGUGAUCCGGUGGUUCUGAAUGGAAGGGCCAUCGCUCAACGGAUAAAAGGUACUCCGGGGAUAACAGGCUGAUACCGCCCAAGAGUUCAUAUCGACGGCGGUGUUUGGCACCUCGAUGUCGGCUCAUCACAUCCUGGGGCUGAAGUAGGUCCCAAGGGUAUGGCUGUUCGCCAUUUAAAGUGGUACGCGAGCUGGGUUUAGAACGUCGUGAGACAGUUCGGUCCCUAUCUGCCGUGGGCGCUGGAGAACUGAGGGGGGCUGCUCCUAGUACGAGAGGACCGGAGUGGACGCAUCACUGGUGUUCGGGUUGUCAUGCCAAUGGCACUGCCCGGUAGCUAAAUGCGGAAGAGAUAAGUGCUGAAAGCAUCUAAGCACGAAACUUGCCCCGAGAUGAGUUCUCCCUGACCCUUUAAGGGUCCUGAAGGAACGUUGAAGACGACGACGUUGAUAGGCCGGGUGUGUAAGCGCAGCGAUGCGUUGAGCUAACCGGUACUAAUGAACCGUGAGGCUUAACCUU